RNAcentral lists this ribosomal RNA (406 nucleotides) under uncultured bacterium. RNAcentral describes it as "bacterial SSU rRNA". It matches the Rfam family "Bacterial small subunit ribosomal RNA", at positions 354 to 776 of the family's 1533-position model. The record is from RNAcentral.
GUGGGGAAUAUUGCACAAUGGGGGAAACCCUGAUGCAGCGACGCCGCGUGGGCGAAGAAGUAUUUCGGUAUGUAAAGCCCUAUCGGCAGGGAAGAGGAAGGACGGUACCUGACUAAGAAGCACCGGCUAAAUACGUGCCAGCAGCCGCGGUAAUACGUAUGGUGCAAGCGUUAUCCGGAUUUACUGGGUGUAAAGGGAGCGUAGGCGGCAUGGCAAGCCCGAUGUGAAAGCCCGGGGCCCAACCCCGGGACUGCAUUGGGAACUGCCGCGCUUGAGUGCCGGAGAGGCAGGCGGAAUUCCUGGUGUAGCGGUGAAAUGCGUAGAUAUCAGGAGGAACACCAGUGGCGAAGGCGGCCUGCUGGACGGCAACUGACGCUGAGGCUCGAAAGCGUGGGGAGCAAACAGG